Molecule: ribosomal RNA, 1425 nt
Filed under: metagenome
Description: bacterial LSU rRNA
Rfam family: Bacterial large subunit ribosomal RNA
Source: RNAcentral
UGAUAUCCGCGUCCAAGCAGUUAGGCUGGGAAAUAGGCAAAUCCGUUUCCCAUAAGGCUGAGCUGUGAUGGCGAGCGAAAUAUAGUAGCGAAGUUCCUGAUUCCACACUGCCAAGAAAAGCCUCUAGCGAGGUGAGAGGUGCCCGUACCGCAAACCGACACAGGUAGGCGAGGAGAGAAUCCUAAGGUGAUCGAGAGAACUCUCGUUAAGGAACUCGGCAAAAUGACCCCGUAACUUCGGGAGAAGGGGUGCUCUGUUAGGGUGCAAGCCCGAGAGAGCCGCAGUGAAUAGGCCCAGGCGACUGUUUAGCAAAAACACAGGUCUCUGCGAAGCCGUAAGGCGAAGUAUAGGGGCUGACGCCUGCCCGGUGCUGGAAGGUUAAGAGGAGCGCUUAGCGUAAGCGAAGGUGCGAAUUGAAGCCCCAGUAAACGGCGGCCGUAACAAUAACGGUCCUAAGGUAGCGAAAUUCCUUGUCGGGUAAGUUCCGACCCGCACGAAAGGCGCAACGAUCUGGGCACUGCCUCAACGAGAGACUCGGUGAAAUUAUAGCACCUGUGAAGAUGCAGGUUACCCGCGACAGGACGGAAAGACCCCGUGGAGCUUUACUGCAGCCUGAUAUUGAAUGUUGGUACAGCUUGUACAGGAUAGGUAGGAGCCUUGGAAACCGGAGCGCCAGCUUCGGUGGAGGCAUCGGUGGGAUACUACCCUGGCUGUAUUGACCUUCUAACCCGCCGCCCUUAUCGGGCGGGGAGACAGUGUCAGGUGGGCAGUUUGACUGGGGCGGUCGCCUCCUAAAAGGUAACGGAGGCGCCCAAAGGUUCCCUCAGGAUGGUUGGAAAUCAUUCGCAGAGUGUAAAGGCACAAGGGAGCUUGACUGCGAGACCUACAAGUCGAGCAGGGACGAAAGUCGGGCUUAGUGAUCCGGUGGUUCCGCAUGGAAGGGCCAUCGCUCAACGGAUAAAAGCUACCCCAGGGAUAACAGGCUUAUCUCCCCCAAGAGUCCACAUCGACGGGGAGGUUUGGCACCUCGAUGUCGGCUCAUCGCAUCCUGGGGCUGUAGUCGGUCCCAAGGGUUGGGCUGUUCGCCCAUUAAAGCGGUACGCGAGCUGGGUUCAGAACGUCGUGAGACAGUUCGGUCCCUAUCCGUCGCGGGCGCAGGAAAUUUGAGAGGAGCUGUCCUUAGUACGAGAGGACCGGGAUGGACGCACCGCUGGUGUACCAGUUGUUCUGCCAAGGGCAUCGCUGGGUAGCUAUGUGCGGACGGGAUAAGUGCUGAAAGCAUCUAAGCACGAAGCCCCCCUCAAGAUGAGAUUUCCCAUUCCGCAAGGAAGUAAGAUCCCUGAAAGAUGAUCAGGUUGAUAGGUCUGAGGUGGAAGUGUGGCGACACAUGGAGCUGACAGAUACUAAUCGAUCGAGGACUUAACC